Streptomyces sp. is the source of this 48-nucleotide non-coding RNA. The record is from Rfam. NCBI's taxonomy places the organism in Bacteria, Bacillati, Actinomycetota, Actinomycetes, Kitasatosporales, Streptomycetaceae.
UCGGUCCCGGUUCACGCGGCGCCAUCCCCGGCUCCGCGACCCGGCACC